AUUGGACGCUGGCGGCAGGCCUAACACAUGCAAGUCGAACGGUAACAGGAAGCAGCUUGCUGCUUUGCUGACGAGUGGCGGACGGGUGAGUAAUGUCUGUGAAACUGCCUGAUGGAGGGGGAUAACUACUGGAAACGGUAGCUAAUACCGCAUAUCGUCUCAAGACCAAAGAGGGGGACCUUAGGGCCUCUUGCCAUCGGAUGUGCCCAGAUGGGAUUAGCUAGUAGGUGGGGUAACGGCUCACCUAGGCGACGAUCCCUAGCUGGUCUGAGAGGAUGACCAGCCACACUGGAACUGAGACACGGUCCAGACUCCUACGGGAGGCAGCAGUGGGGAAUAUUGCACAAUGGGCGCAAGCCUGAUGCAGCCAUGCCGCGUGUAUGAAGAAGGCCUUCGGGUUGUAAAGUACUUUCAGCGGGGAGGAAGGGAGUAAAGUUAAUACCUUUGCUCAUUGACGUUACCCGAAGAAGAAGCCCCGGCUAACUCCGUG
Molecule: ribosomal RNA, 490 nt
Filed under: uncultured bacterium
Lineage: Bacteria
Description: partial 16S ribosomal RNA
Rfam family: Bacterial small subunit ribosomal RNA
Source: RNAcentral